GAUGAACGCUGGCGGUAUGCUUAACACAUGCAAGUCGUACGAAGAUCUUUGAUCUUAGUGGCGGACGGGUGAGUAACACGUGAGAAUCUGCCCUUAGGAAGAGGAUAACAGCUGGAAACGGUUGCUAAUACUCUAUACGCCGAGAGGUAAAAGGAUUUAUCCACCUUAGGAAGAGCUCGCGUCUGAUUAGCUUGUUGGUAAGGUAAUGGCUUACCAAGGCGACGAUCAGUAGCUGGUUUGAGAGGACGACCAGCCACACUGGGACUGAGACACGGCCCAGACUCCUACGGGAGGCAGCAGUGGGGAAUUUUCCGCAAUGGGCGAAAGCCUGACGGAGCAAUACCGCGUGAGGGAUGAAAGCCUGUGGGUUGUAAACCUCUUUUAUCAGGGAAGAAGCGAAAGUGACGGUACCUGAAGAAAAAGCACCGGCUAACUACGUG
This 440-nucleotide ribosomal RNA is filed under the name uncultured bacterium. RNAcentral's name for it is "bacterial SSU rRNA". It matches the Rfam family "Bacterial small subunit ribosomal RNA", at positions 28 to 507 of the family's 1533-position model. The record is from RNAcentral.